CCUACGGGUGGCAGCAGUGAGGAAUAUUGCACAAUGGUGGGAACACUGAUGCAGCGACGCCGCGUGAGUGAAGAAGUAAUUCGUUACGUAAAGCUCUAUCAGCAGGGAAGAAAAUGACGGUACCUGAGUAAGAAGCCCCGUCUAACUACGUGCCAGCAGCCGCGGUAAUUCGUAGGGGGCAAUCGUUAUCCGGAUUAUCUGGGUGUAAAGGGAGCGUAGACGGUUCGGCAAGUCCGGAGAGAAAAGCCGGAGGCUAAAGGUGGCACCGCUUUGGAAACUGGCGAACUAGAGUGCGGGAGAGGUAAGCGGAAGUCGUAGUGUAGCGGUGAAAUGCGUAGAUAUUAGGAAGAACACCGGUGGCGAAGGCGGCAUACUGGACCGCAACUGACGUUGAGGCUCGAAAGCGUGGGGAGCAAACAGGAGUAGAUACCCGAGUAGUC
Molecule: ribosomal RNA, 440 nt
Filed under: uncultured bacterium
Lineage: Bacteria
Description: partial 16S ribosomal RNA
Rfam family: Bacterial small subunit ribosomal RNA
Source: RNAcentral